UGCUAUACAUGCAGUCGUACGCAAAACUUUCUCUGAGUGUUCGCACUCGCUGAAAGAUUUGAGUGGCGAACGGGUGAGUAACACGUGGGUAACCUGCCCAGAAGAAGGGGAUAACACUUGGAAACAGGUGCUAAUACCGUAUAACAACAAAGACCGCAUGGUCUUUGUUUAAAAGAUGGUUCUGCUAUCACUUCUGGAUGGACCCGCGGCGUAUUAGCUAGUUGGUGAGGUAAUGGCUCACCAAGGCAAUGAUACGUAGCCGAACUGAGAGGUUGAUCGGCCACAUUGGGACUGAGACACGGCCCAAACUCCUACGGGAGGCAGCAGUAGGGAAUCUUCCACAAUGGACGAAAGUCUGAUGGAGCAACGCCGCGUGAGUGAAGAAGGUUUUCGGAUCGUAAAACUCUGUUGUUAGAGAAGAACGUGUGUGAGAGUAACUGUUCAUGCAGUGACGGUAUCUAACCAGAAAGCCACGGCUAACUACGUGCCAGCAGCCGCGGUAAUACGUAGGUGGCAAGCGUUGUCCGGAUUUAUUGGGCGUAAAGGGAACGCAGGCGGUUUUUUAAGUCUGAUGUGAAAGCCUUCGGCUUAACCGAAGUCGUGCAUUGGAAACUGGAAGACUUGAGUGCAGAAGAGGAGAGUGGAACUCCAUGUGUAGCGGUGAAAUGCGUAGAUAUAUGGAAGAACACCAGUGGCGAAAGCGGCUCUCUGGUCUGUAACUGACGCUGAGGUUCGAAAGCAUGGGUAGCAAACAGGAUUAGAUACCCUGGUAGUCCAUGCCGUAAACGAUGAAUGCUAAGUGUUGGAGGGUUUCCGCCCUUCAGUGCUGCAGCUAACGCAUUAAGCAUUCCGCCUGGGGAGUACGAUCGCAAGAUUGAAACUCAAAGGAAUUGACGGGGGCCCGCACAAGCGGUGGAGCAUGUGGUUUAAUUCGAAGCAACGCGGAAGAACCUUACC
Molecule: ribosomal RNA, 957 nt
Filed under: Liquorilactobacillus sucicola
Lineage: Bacteria; Bacillati; Bacillota; Bacilli; Lactobacillales; Lactobacillaceae
Description: bacterial SSU rRNA
Rfam family: Bacterial small subunit ribosomal RNA
Source: RNAcentral